GUUCAGAGAGUCACAGAAAGGACAAGUCACAGGAAACUGUGGGCAUGAAAUCAAAUACUCUAGAUGCACAGCACAGGGUUUGGAGGCUGAAGACUCCUAGGAGCAAGAAAGGAAGGAGAGAACCCAAGGAAACCCUGUCCAGGGUAGAGCGGUGGAAACGUGGCGCUAACAAAGACUUCCUGUUCGGCACAGAAUCCAGGCUGGCAGAGGCGGCUGCAGGGCUGUGGGUGUACUCAGCUGUGCAGAGCUGAUUAUAGAAGAUGAAAGGGCUUGGCAAUUCACUUCAUCUCAUGCUGAAACACUGCUGACAACUGAAAGUGAGGACAGAAGGAUUCAUUUGUUCAACUUCUGUUUUAAAAAGCAGACUUCAAAUGAUACCAUGGAGAAAAGGAGGCGGGGCCCUGGUGUAAUGGUGUAAUGCGAUGCUUUUUUUUUUUUUUUAUAACACACUAGCUGCAGCGUUUAUGUUUUGUACAUGGCU
RNAcentral lists this long non-coding RNA (481 nucleotides) under Mus musculus (house mouse). RNAcentral's name for it is "elncRNA-EC11". The record is from RNAcentral. Lineage: Eukaryota; Metazoa; Chordata; Mammalia; Rodentia; Muridae.